This 75-nucleotide transfer RNA is filed under the name Candidatus Altarchaeales archaeon WOR_SM1_79. RNAcentral's name for it is "Candidatus Altiarchaeales archaeon WOR_SM1_79 tRNA-Cys". It matches the Rfam family "tRNA". From Rfam's summary of the family: Transfer RNA (tRNA) molecules are approximately 80 nucleotides in length. Lineage: Archaea; Nanobdellati; Candidatus Altarchaeota; Candidatus Altarchaeia; Candidatus Altarchaeales. The record is from RNAcentral.
GCAGGGGUGGCCAAGCCCGGUUUAAGGCAGUCGGCUGCAGACCGACGAUCGUGAGUUCAAAUCUCACCCCCUGCU